Molecule: non-coding RNA, 21 nt
Filed under: Arabidopsis thaliana (thale cress)
Lineage: Eukaryota; Viridiplantae; Streptophyta; Magnoliopsida; Brassicales; Brassicaceae
Source: RNAcentral
UAGAGUUGCAAUUCUGGAUGC